UCUGGUGUAAUUUUAUAUUAGAUCUAACCUGCUCAAUGAAACGUUGUUUUUAAAUGGCCGCGGUAUUUUGACCGUGCGAAGGUAGCAUAAUCAUUUGUCUUUUAAUUGGAGGCUUGUAUGAAUGGUUGGAUGAAGGAGUGGCUUUCUUUAUAUUAUGGAAUUGAAUUUAACUUUUAAGUCAAAAGGCUUAGAUUUUUAAAUGGGACGAGAAGACCCUAUAGAAUUUUAUUUUUAUAUAGUUAAUUUAUUGUUUUGGUUAAUAUUUUAUUUAAUUAUUUUAAAAAUUUUGUUGGGGUGACAGUAAGAUUUAUUUAACUCUUAUAAUUAAUUUUUUUAUUAAUUAGUAUAUAUUAGAUCCUUAAUUUAGGAUAAUUAGAUUAAAUUACCUUAGGGAUAACAGCGUAAUUCUACUGGAGAGUUCUUAUUGAUAGUGGGGUUUGCGACCUCGAUGUUGGAUUAAAAUAAGAUUUGAGUGCAGAAGCUUAAUUUCUAGGUCUGUUCGACCUUUAAUUUUUUACA
This 519-nucleotide ribosomal RNA is filed under the name Euschistus heros (neotropical brown stinkbug). Its description in RNAcentral is "partial 16S ribosomal RNA". It matches the Rfam family "Archaeal large subunit ribosomal RNA", at positions 1923 to 2669 of the family's 2987-position model. The record is from RNAcentral. Lineage: Eukaryota; Metazoa; Arthropoda; Insecta; Hemiptera; Pentatomidae.